Long non-coding RNA from Prunus persica (peach), 753 nucleotides. RefSeq lists it as uncharacterized. The record is from RefSeq and is a predicted model, not a curated record. The transcript has 2 exons. Lineage: Eukaryota; Viridiplantae; Streptophyta; Magnoliopsida; Rosales; Rosaceae.
UUAAAACAAACUCAACCCCAAAACCUCAUAAAAAAAGCCCAAAACACUCAAUAGGGCACAAACUCAGAUUUUCCUAUGACUUUAGGGUUUGUUUUUUCUUCUAUUUAAGCCAACUCUUAUAUUUGACAGUUUAUUCAUAGAGCCGAGAUUUUCUCUUCCUUUUCUGUUCGUCUCCUCUUCUUAUUACCCUAACUAAGCCAAGCACUGCCAUAACCCUCCAUCUUCUUCUCUAUAUCCAUGGAGCGUACGGAGCUUGCUGUUGAGAACAACGAUCUGCCUCGUGAUCUUGUGUCGAAGAGAACAGCGAUCUGGGAUUCUCUGAGGUUGCUUUCGAUAUAAACAAGAAGGUGGAUAAGCUUAUCUCGUUGAUGGUAGGCGGGAAUUCGCUUUCCCCUCCAUUGCAGGAGCCACCAACUGACUGUGAAAUUAGCAAUAUGGAGCUGUUCGAGAUUCUUUGGAAGGCGAGUGGGAAGCUUGAGGUACUAUUAUUGCUCAUGUCGAGCAAGGAGUGAAGGCAUAACCCUAAGUUCCAAAGCCUUAUUAUCACCCUUUAAACUUCUGCGUUUCUUAUUUUAGACUUUAGCAGUAUAAACUUCUGGUAUUCCAUUAUUUCUUAUUAGAAAUAUGUUAAGACUUUCCAUGGGUUGUAUAAAUUUGAUAGUUUGUGUUUUGUGGAAUUGUUUGGAAAAUGCCAGGUCUCCUUAUUUUAGACUUUUAUACAACCUAAUGAGAGAAAGGGUGGUUCUUCGAGAC